This 253-nucleotide ribosomal RNA is filed under the name uncultured bacterium. RNAcentral describes it as "partial 16S ribosomal RNA". It matches the Rfam family "Bacterial small subunit ribosomal RNA", at positions 524 to 776 of the family's 1533-position model. The record is from RNAcentral.
UACAGAGGGGGCAAGCGUUAUUCGGAAUUAUUGGGCGUAAAGGGCGCGUAGGCGGCAUGGCAAGUGGAAGGUGAAAUCCCUCGGCUCAACUGAGGAACUGCCUUUGAAACUGUCUGGCUUGAGGCCGGGAGAGGGUAGCGGAAUUCCCAGUGUAGCGGUGAAAUGCGUAGAUACUGGGAGGAACACCGGUGGCGAAGGCGGCUACCUGGACCGGUUCUGACGCUGAUGCGCGAAAGCGUGGGUAGCAAACAGG